ACGCAGUCACGAAAAAUUUAUCGUAUAAUCCAAGCGUGCCACGUCAACAGUUUAAUUUGCAAGUUUCGGUAUUUUCAGUUUUUGCCGACCAGAAAGGAACAGGAGAUUUUCUCGUCAUGAAGAACUGUAGCAAGUUUUGUCUUCUGCUUCUCUUAUCAUGCUUGUCGCCGAUAAGGGCGGAAGAUGAUACAAACAAAGGUGAAUGGUGCUGGAAAGAGUAUGUCGCUGCUGGCAUAGUGGGAGGUACAGCAGCAGUAGUUGCAGCCCCAUUUGUCCUGUCUGCUGCAGGAUUUACCACUGCGGGUGUUGCUGUAGGCUCUGUUGCUGCUGGUGUCCAGUCUGCAGUGUAUGGGGGAGCUGUCGCUUCAAGCAGCAUAUUUGCAGGACUUCAAAGUGCAGGUGCAGCUGGCAUGGGAGCCAAGGCAACUCUUACUGUCUUUUCUUUGGGUGCAGCAGCGACCACCUAUGUCAAGGAUAAGGUUGCUCCGUGUGCAGAGGAAUCAAAAUGUUCUUCAGAUGUCCCCCAUGAGUAAUUUGUACAGUUGAAUGACUUUCAUAUAUUGGGAAAGUUUGUAAUUGAUUGCACAUAGCUAUAGGGUUAGGGUUAAGGUUACAUCAGUGUCAUUUCAGGAAAUUAAAUACUGAGCACAUAAGUAUGUAAUAAUAACACAUUUCUCUUUUUGGCUGGUUUUUCUGUGAUCAGAAAUGUCUUGAAACAUCAGCAGGGCCAUUCAAAACCAAAAUGUAAUUUGAGGCAUUUCAAAAAGUAUGUAAAGGUAAACACAUUCCAUACAGUUUGCCAAAGCCAAAUGAAAGAAAUUGAAGAUACAAUUCAGUUUUUUGCUCAAACAGUUCUCCAGUUUCCUAUUGGGUUAUGAAGAUGACUCCUUGAUGUGUGGAUAAAAUACUUCGCAGACCAGAUGUUUUUUAUAAAAAGGAAGCAAAUUUUCUUGAUAAGGAAGGGAAAUUGAUUUAAACAGUUUUCGAGUUAAGAUAGACAGGGUUUGGUUACAGGGCUCAAACUUAACUUUUGAAGUUAAUAGUCGAAUGGCUAGUACAAGGUCAGGAUUCACUAGCCAAAAAUGCAUUUCUACUAGGCAAGUGUACAGCACAAAACUAUCAUUUUUAUAGAUUAAACAAACACAAGAAAAUGUAAAACUGCUGUUGCUAUCAAACUGUAAUCAAUUUAUUAUACAACUGUACAUAAAAUUCAUUGUAAGUAUUCAUGCUUGUUCGUUAUUCCAAUUACCUCGACAACAAUAAAACCCAACUGU
This is a non-coding RNA of Pocillopora verrucosa, 1274 nucleotides long. The record is from RefSeq and is a predicted model, not a curated record. Lineage: Eukaryota; Metazoa; Cnidaria; Anthozoa; Scleractinia; Pocilloporidae.